Molecule: ribosomal RNA, 548 nt
Filed under: uncultured Helotiales
Lineage: Eukaryota; Fungi; Ascomycota; Leotiomycetes; Helotiales
Description: eukaryotic LSU rRNA
Rfam family: 5.8S ribosomal RNA (bases 208-361)
Source: RNAcentral
AAGUCGUAACAAGGUCUCCGUAGGUGAACCUGCGGAGGGAUCAUUACAGAGUUCAUGCCCUCACGGGUAGAUCUCCCACCCUGUGUUAUUAUACUUUGUUGCUUUGGCAGGCCGCCCGCGUGGGCUACCGGCUCCAGCUGGUAAGUGCCUGCCAGAGGACCCCAAACUCUGAAUAUUUUAUUGUCUGAGUACUAUAUAAUAGUUUAAAACUUUCAACAACGGAUCUCUUGGUUCUGGCAUCGAUGAAGAACGCAGCGAAAUGCGAUAAGUAAUGUGAAUUGCAGAAUUCAGUGAAUCAUCGAAUCUUUGAACGCACAUUGCGCCCCUUGGUAUUCCGAGGGGCAUGCCUGUUCGAGCGUCACUUCAACCUUCAGGCUCUGCUUGGUAUUGGGCACCGCCAGCAUCGGCGGGCCUUAAAAUCAGUGGCGGCGUCGCUAGGUCCUGAGCGUAGUAAUACUCCUCGCUACUGGAUGCUAGUAGAUGUCUGCCAUCAACCCCAACUCUUAAUGGUUGACCUCGGAUCAGGUAGGGAUACCCGCUGAACUUAA